GCCGGAUGAGGCGGGCGGAGAGCUGAGUCUGCACGGAGAAGGGGAAAAGGUCUCUGCUCAGUGGAGGGCGUGGCUCCUAUUACGGGACGGUUGCAGAAUUGGACCCCGAGUGGUGGACCCACAAAUGGUAGACCGGAGAGGCAGGCUUACACCUUCGUGAGGCGGUCACGCCGCGUAAUAAGGCAGAGGGGACCCACCACCAAGAAACCCACUGCCGAGACCGUCAUUCAACAAGCGCUUUGCUCCCAGAAGUGUCCUCCCAGCUCUCAUCCAACCGCAGGAGCAAGCCCGAUGGAGAUCCCUGGCCGUCAAAACAACAAGAGCAUUUUAAAAAUCCCUGCACAAAAAAAAAAAAAAAAGAUGGGCAAAGGUUGGACCUGGGGUGUGGGUCCGUGGUGGAGCCCUUGCCUAGCAUGCUUCAGACCCUAGGUUCCAUCCCCAGCACCGCAUAAAACAGCCGGGUUGGGGAGCAAGGAUCUGAAUAGACAGUUCUCCAAAAAGGUCAUGUAAAUGAACAACACGUACAGGUAAAGAUGCUCCGCACCUUCAGUCAUCGGGAAAUGCAAAUCAAAGCCGGGCUGAGAUAGUAGUUCCUGCCCACUAGGCUGGCUUUGAUUCAAAACAAAACAAAUCUGAACAGACGAAAAAGGAAAGCAAAUGAAUGUUGGCAAAGAUGUGGAGAAAUAGGAACCCUCCUACGCUGCUGGUGAGGUGGUGAAAUGGUGCAGGCCGAUGUGAAAAACAGUUUUGGGCUGUUCCUCAAAAGUUAAACAGAAAUACCACAUGACACAGCAAUGAUGCUCCUAGGUAUGUACUCAAGAGAGAUAAACACACAUCCACUCCAGCUGGUAUGUGGCCACACCCAUAUUCUGGAGGCUGAGGCAGGAGGAUCCCAAGUUCAAGACCAGCCUGGGCAAUUUAGCAAGACCCUGUCUCAAAAUUUAAGAUGGGUGAAGCCCUGGGUUCAAUUCCAAGCACUUCAUAAAACAAACUUCUACACAAAUAUUCAUGAUGGCCUUUUUCAUGGUAGUCAAAAUGUGUAAACAACCCAGAUGUCCUUCAACUGGUGAAAGGAUAAUGACCCAUUCAGACAUGGCAAAUUGAGGUGUCCUUUUACUGCUCCUGAAAGUUGGCUCAGUGUGUGUGCAUGGGUGUGGAAUCUCCUGGGAGGUGGGAGCCCCUCUACCAUUCCCCAAGACUCCCUGCAUUUGGGCAGAAUCCUGCAAGGAGAGUAGACACCACGGUACCCGAUUUCUACUUUUUUCCUUGUGGUGUGAAAUGGUGUGUAUUAUACAAAUGCACAUCUGUCUGAUUCCCAUGAGCUCCACAGCCACCAUAGGAUCUGGCGCAGUCACUCAGCAUGUGGAACAUGAUCCAUCUGGGAAUUUAAAUUUCCUAGUAGCCACAUGUAAAACAAAAUUUCUGGCAGAAUUCAUUUUAAUUAAGUACUGUUUUAUUAAAAAUAUUUUUGUUUUAACAUGUAAUCAAACUCAACUAUUAUUAAUGGGGUAUUCUAUGUCAUUUUUGUCAAACCCAGUCUUAGGAUCCAGUGCGUAUUACAUCCCCCUCUUGAUGCUAAUUUGCAUCAGAAAUCCUUGAUCUCUUUUUACAUUUUACAGUGGGAAAAAACAGGUUUGCAUUGCCAGGUAUUUCAAACAGGCAUAGAAGUUUUCUGAGCACUGAAUCAAAGUAUCAGCUUUAUUUCCUCUACAUUUAAAUUGCUUAAAUUUUUAUUUUUUUUAUUGUUAUUUUUUGUGGUGCUGUGGAUUGAACCCAGGGCUUUGCGCAGGCAAGGCAAGUACUCUCCCAACUGAGCUAUAUCCCCAGCCCCUAAAUUGCUUAAAUUUUGAAAACUACAAAUUCAGUUCCAGAGUGGCACCAACUAGUUAGGGGCCACCAUGCUGGCUGGUGAAGAUGUAGACUAUAUCCUCCAUCACAGACAGUUCUGGGAGGUCCGGGACAGUGCCAGGCACAGACAGGAUCCCAGCACAUGGGCCGGGGGCCAGAGCAUAACUUAGCGUGCAGCCUGUACUCAGUGAGUACAAGUGUCACUGGAGAAGAGGUGGCCCAGGAGAAGGGUGAAGUUCCUGGAGAGAGCAGAGAACUGACUCAGGCUCAAUGGGGCCCUUGGCUCAUGUGACAGAAAAGAAUUCCAGUGCUUGCCAGCCCUGGGCAUGGAGAGAGGCUUGUGUAGGAAGCAGAUGCGCCCUCCAGGUUGGAUGCAGCCAUCUCCAGAGGGAGAGGUCCCGAGGGCUCCUCUUCAAAGCAAUCUUAGGGAGGGGUGGGCACGGGAAGCUGUGUGGGUGACAUGGGUCUGGUCACUCUGAGAUCCUGAGGCUGACAUGGUCUGUUAUCUGAUCCGUAAAUAGGAAUGGAAGGUCUCCUAAGCUAUAGAUUUCUUAAAACGUCCUCUCUUUGCUGCUUCUAUGUUCUAGGGUGGAUUAGCUCUGCAUAGGCAGAGUCACGGAUUUCCCAGGAAUCCAGGAGUGACAGGCGGCCCUUCUGACCCACAGCCUGGCUCCCUGUCACUCCUUCAGGGUCCUGUCUACCUGGUUUUUUCUUCUAAUUUCUUCUGUCCUACUUCAAAAGGACUUCGGUUCCAUCCCUAGCACACAAAAGAAAGAAAAAAUGUUGCACUGAGCAGCUUGUUAGUGACCAUCUUCCCCCUGACCAGCCCUGAUUGCUCUUUCCUCAGACCAGUACCAGGCUCAAGAGAGAUGCUUCUGGUCAGCGAGGGCUCCCUGCCCCACCGAGGCAUCAGCACGUCAGCUAAGGUGCAACCUGGAGAAGUCACCCAAACCACCCAGGCGCACUAUACCUUUCUGAAAAAAUUGGCCAUGUGCGGACAGGCCACAAGCUGAGGAACCCCACGGAUGGCCAGUUACCAGGAAGGACCGGAAGGACGCUCCCCAGAGCCAGGAGAGAGGCUGGCCCUGCUGACACCUCCAUCAGGGACUUCUGGCUGCCAGGACCCUGCAGAAGUAGCCGUGGUGGAACAGACACCCUCUGAAACUAAGGGCAACUUCCUGAAAACUGGUUUUUCUGUAGCCUCCGGAGCAGCCCCUUCUGAAGUGGAAGCUCCAGAUUGCUUUAACUUCUAAACUGCCUCUUACUGGGAACGGAGGCCUACUCAUACAGAGGGGACUCCCCAGAAUCAGGACGCCACGCUGCCUGGCUAACUGACCCUUCUCUUAGAACAAGUUCCCUGUCCCUGGGGUUUUCUGAAGAUGGGGAUUUGAGGCAAAAAUGUCUCCUCUACCUUCCUUCAAAGCUGGCUUUGAAUAAGACGAUUUUCCUGCUAGUUCAACAGCCUUCCUUUGUGGCAGGAGGCCUAGCCUCUCGCCCCCACCCUGGGGUGAAGGCAGAGGGGGGAACACAGGUGCCUGGGCUUCUCCUUGGUAUCAGUUACACACAGGUGUGUCUGCAGGGCCCAGACACCAAGUUCUCAGACUCACACAAGCCUCGUUUUGGGUGUGGCUUCUGGUAUCUGUUUCCUGUACCCCUGGGCCUAUCUCCUCCCGCAGAGCCUCCUGGGGGCCCUCACACCUGGCACUCUGCCCUGUCGGCACAGCCUCUGGCCUUCUAGAAAACUCAGUAAACCUCAGCCUGAGCCACAGUGGGACUGGGGGGUGGGGUCCUGGGGACCGCCCGCAGGCUGCCCCAAAGCUGGUUAUCUAGAGCCUCCUUUGACGUGGGAGGCAGCACAACUUUGGGAAGUCGGUUUCAUGAGGCCAGUGAUGGCAUCUGCUUCCUUCCGUGUCUUUGGCGUCCAGGGCUAUGCUUUUUACAUAGGCGUUUCUGCUCAUCUUGAAUCAGCGUUGUCUUAAAACAGCAGUUGGCCCGUCGUCAAAGUGACUGCUCUCUGCUUUGCUGUGCGUGGAAUAGUUUUCAUGAA
Molecule: long non-coding RNA, 3895 nt
Filed under: Marmota monax (woodchuck)
Lineage: Eukaryota; Metazoa; Chordata; Mammalia; Rodentia; Sciuridae
Source: RNAcentral